UACGAAGGGUGCUAGCGUUGUUCGGAAUUAUUGGGCGUAAAGCGUACGUAGGCGGCUUGGUAAGUCAAUUGUGAAAGCCCUGAGCUCAACUCGGGAAUUGCAAUCGAAACUGCCUUGCUUGAGUUUGGUGGGGGAUGGUGGAAUUCCUAGUGUAGGGGUGAAAUCCGUAGAUAUUAGGAGGAAUACCGGUGGCGAAGGCGACCAUCUACGCCAAUACUGACGCUGAGGUACGAAAGCGUGGGGAGCAAACAGG
Molecule: ribosomal RNA, 253 nt
Filed under: uncultured bacterium
Lineage: Bacteria
Description: partial 16S ribosomal RNA
Rfam family: Bacterial small subunit ribosomal RNA
Source: RNAcentral